Molecule: ribosomal RNA, 496 nt
Filed under: uncultured bacterium
Lineage: Bacteria
Description: partial 16S ribosomal RNA
Rfam family: Bacterial small subunit ribosomal RNA
Source: RNAcentral
AUGAACGCUGGCGGCGUGCCUAAUACAUGCAAGUCGAGCGAACAGACGAGGAGCUUGCUCCUCUGACGUUAGCGGCGGACGGGUGAGUAACACGUGGAUAACCUACCUAUAAGACUGGGAUAACUUCGGGAAACCGGAGCUAAUUCCGGAUAAUAUAUUGAACCGCAUGGUUCCAUAGUGAAAGACGGUUUUGCUGUCACUUAUAGAUGGAUCCGCGCCGCAUUAGCUAGUUGGUAAGGUAACGGCUUACCAAGGCAACGAUGCGUAGCCGACCUGAGAGGGUGAUCGGCCACACUGGAACUGAGACACGGUCCAGACUCCUACGGGAGGCAGCAGUAGGGAAUCUUCCGCAAUGGGCGAAAGCCUGACGGAGCAACGCCGCGUGAGUGAUGAAGGUCUUCGGAUCGUAAAACUCUGUUAUUAGGGAAGAACAAAUGUGUAAGUAACUAUGCACGUCUUGACGGUACCUAAUCAGAAAGCCACGGCUAACUACGUG